RNAcentral lists this ribosomal RNA (337 nucleotides) under uncultured soil bacterium. Its description in RNAcentral is "bacterial SSU rRNA". It matches the Rfam family "Bacterial small subunit ribosomal RNA", at positions 26 to 348 of the family's 1533-position model. The record is from RNAcentral.
AGAAUCAACGCUGGCGGCGUGCCUCAGACAUGCAAGUCGAACGAUUAAAGCUCUCUUCGGAGAGUGUAUAGAGUGGCGCACGGGUGAGUAACACGUAAGUAAUCUACCCUCGAGUGGGGAAUAACGUCCGGAAACGGACGCUAAUACCGCAUAAUGCAGCGGCACGCAAGGUGACAGUUGUUAAAGAUUUUAUCGCUUGAGGAGGAGCUUGCGGCAGAUUAGCUAGUUGGUAAGGUAUGGCUUACAAGGCUAACGAUCUAGUAACCGUCUAAGAGGACGGUACGGUCACACUAGACGACUACGAAGUAACGGGUCGAGACCGUACCUACCGGGAGGG